RNAcentral lists this ribosomal RNA (434 nucleotides) under uncultured Lachnospiraceae bacterium. RNAcentral describes it as "partial 16S ribosomal RNA". It matches the Rfam family "Bacterial small subunit ribosomal RNA", at positions 341 to 792 of the family's 1533-position model. The record is from RNAcentral. Lineage: Bacteria; Bacillati; Bacillota; Clostridia; Lachnospirales; Lachnospiraceae.
ACGGGAGGCAGCAGUGGGGAAUAUUGGACAAUGGGGGAAACCCUGAUCCAGCGACGCCGCGUGAGUGAAGAAGUAUUUCGGUAUGUAAAGCUCUAUCAGCAAGGAAGAAAAUGACGGUACUUGACUAAGAAGCUCCGGCUAAAUACGUGCCAGCAGCCGCGGUAAUACGUAUGGAGCAAGCGUUAUCCGGAUUUACUGGGUGUAAAGGGAGCGUAGGUGGCCAUGCAAGUCAGAUGUGAAAUCCCGGGGCUCAACCCCGGAGCUGCAUUUGAAACUGCGUAGCUAGAGUGCAGGAGAGGUAAGCGGAAUUCCUAGUGUAGCGGUGAAAUGCGUAGAUAUUAGGAGGAACACCAGUGGCGAAAGCGGCUUGCUGGACUGCAACUGACACUGAGGCUCGAAAGCGUGGGGAGCAAACAGGAUUAGAUACCCUGGUA